GCCAGUGCAGCGUAGUGGUUUGAGUGUUGGACUACGACUCUGGAAACCAGGUUUCAAUUCCCAGCUCAGCCA
This 72-nucleotide transfer RNA is filed under the name Phrynosoma platyrhinos (Desert horned lizard). RNAcentral describes it as "tRNA-OTHER". Lineage: Eukaryota; Metazoa; Chordata; Lepidosauria; Squamata; Phrynosomatidae. The record is from RNAcentral.